GUUAUGAGUAAUGUGGUCACCAACAGUGGAAAAAGUAUUUUUACCAUUCAGCAUAAUCUAGCUAAGAGAGGUGUAGCACAGGGUGAGGUGGUUACAAAGCAAUGUGGAGCAUGCCCAAUCUGAUUACGACAGCUGGCACUCAUCAGCUUUAUAUUCAGUACUGUUUAGCUAUAAAUAGAGUUGUAAUGUUAGUUUCUUUUCCAAGUUAACAUUCUCUGUUUUGUAACAAACUGUUUCCUGAGAGCUCAAUACAUACAGUUUUCUUUCUGAUUACAUCUGAAUCUAUCAAAGUGACAGUCCUGCUCCCGAUUUAUGCCCGAAAGGAUUUAUCUGCUGGAUUUACCUAAUAGCAUGGUCUAACAUAUGGAGCUCUUCUUUCGAUGGAGUUAACCGCGGUCAUAGAUUUAAACUUUCGUAAAUAACCCGUUAAGGACCAGCGUCACCGGGUCGUAGGCUUAGGGAGUUAGGGUUCAUGUUUACCCUUCUAGAACAAUUAUGAAAGAUGGCGGCGGCGUUUAGCCAUUGUACAGGAGCGAAGGACAGCAACGUGGCUCCUGAUUCUCCUCUUUAUACUCAUUGUUUGACACAACUCCUCAAACCCAUGUAUGUGGUCUUUAGUACUUCUGUUAAUCUGUUUGUGUGUGUGUGUGUGUGUAUAAUAUAUUGUAUCUCCCACUGAUCUUAGUAAAGAGAGUAGUUUAGAGUUGACUUGAAGUUGUCAAGUGAAGUGUUAAUUCUUAGAUGUGUACUAUUUAUCCCGACUUGGCUGAAAGUGACGAUACGUGUUCAAGUGUUGAUGUUCAAUUUUUUGUAUGUUAGGCCUAAAUAAAGGAUGAAGAAAAUUGAUUAAUCCAGGUAAUCGAGCUAUAAUUGAUAUGGUUGAAAGAUGUUUGUGAGAGACUUUAGCCCGUUUGUCAUAGUGCCCCCAAAAUUGAUAUUCUUCAAGGUGUAGUACUUUUGUCGGUGCUUGUGAAUAAUGUAGCCCAACUAAGGUCUAAGCAACGACAAAGGUAUUACACUUGAGGCAUAUCUGUUCGGGAUUGAUUCUGCUUCUUCCGGUGAUCAUCUACAGAAUGGGGCAGGAUACCCUCUCUGAGUAGAGAAUGGAUCAAACAGGGGCCAUAUGUUGCUUUUCCUAAAGGUCUUGUUACUGAAGGCCAUAUUUAUGCUAUCUUACUUGAUUUUGUGCAAUUAAAAACUAUAUUGAUAAUCGCAAUCUUACUUCAAAAUAGACAUGGAAUAAACUCUGUGACCUUGCUCAACACAAACCUUAUGCAGUUUGGGCUCUUUCCGUCUUUCAAAUUGCCUUCUUCCGUGGUUUUACAGGAUGAAACUGAAAUGACAGUCCAUGUCCACUUAAUGACCUCGGGUGACACUUUAGUGUAAAUGCCAUCUUUGCUAAGUACUCUCUUGUGAUCUUUAAGGAUUGUCUACUUCUUAAUAACUCUAUAGCCUAAAAAAUUCACUAUACAGGUAAGAAUAUCAGUCGAUGCAUGGUGGAGUGAACUAUGACGCGAAAUGGAAAGAUGGACCGAAGUCACAUAAUGGUGUCAUGCUAUUUUGCUCUAGUUUAAUCAGCCCUAAAUAUUGCCGUUUGUUUCAUACCAGUUUAGAGCAAUGUUUUAUGAACUCUUAUGUACAUUCUCUAGGCGUACUGCUUAAGUAAGAAUGCAAAUAUUAGUUUUUGGAUUCAAAUCUUCUGGACUGUUUACUUUGAUGUUCGUAUUAUCUGAAUUCUGGUGUAUAUUCUUUCCCAGUAACUUUUUGGUUAACUGUAUUUGGUUGAGCAUCUGUAACAUCGCUUUUAACCAAUCAGGUAUCACCAAGUAGUUAAGUAAAAAUAAACAUUUGCUGAUUAAUUAUUGGCUAAUAUAAUAUUCUUUCAUUUUUUAUUUUGCAGGUACCGGAGAAGAAUAUUGCUCAAAAUCUCUGUAAUCAACAUCGAAGUCCAGCGAAUUUGAGAUGAUGCUAUGUUAGUAUUUCCCUACCUACAGAAAUAUAUCUUUGAUUCUAUUUAUUUCAGUAUCAAUUUUCCUAUUUGUUCAAGGUAAAAUAAUGUGUCAUUUAUUCCUCAUAUAAUAUUUAAAUGAUAAUAUAUGUCCUUUUAUGAUAAUUUUAUAUCGGUCCAUAUAUAUGUAUGAAUUUUAUUGAAACUUUUCAUUUAGUAUUUUAAAUAGAAUAAACAACUGUUCUGUUAACAGAAUAAUAAAUAGAGUGUAUAACAUGUUACAAAGGUUAUUAUGGUUCAAAAAUUGGAAUUUAUUGGAAAUUACAAUAAAUUUUUUAAUUUAGAUUUUUUUCAUAUGCGUUACAAUUGUUUGUUGAUGAAAUUUCUGGUCCAAUCUCAAUAUAUAAUACAGUACUUUCAAUAUUUCAUCAACAAACUUAAAUAUAUCAAAUAAGAGGAAUUAUUUUUUCUUUAUUUCAUAUUCAUAUGACAAACAGAGCACAAGAACUCAAGAAGGACAAAUAUAAGCAAACUACAUAGAUGGCCUUCAUUCCCUCAUGCUUGUCCAUCACAAUUCUAUGUGUCAAGCUUCCUUAGUUUAUGCUGCAGAACCAAACGACAAGUGAAUAUUAUUAUGAGCAGUUGGUUUCUAUAAAAUCAUGUAACAUGACUUUGUAUGUGCAAGUUUGCAAAGGCCAUCUGUUUCAAAAUCUAAAAAUUGAAAAACUUGCGAGUUGCAGUUGAAGUUGGGAUCAGGAGAGAAGGAGACCGGAACGCCACAUUUCUGAGGGAUAGCAGCGACAUUUGAAAGCUGGACACCAUGGACUGCGGAAGAAGAUUGCUUAAGGCAGUUGCACAAC
Molecule: long non-coding RNA, 2808 nt
Filed under: Daucus carota (carrot)
Lineage: Eukaryota; Viridiplantae; Streptophyta; Magnoliopsida; Apiales; Apiaceae
Description: long non-coding RNA (DCAR_LNC001719)
Source: RNAcentral